GUCAAUGAACCUCAGGUAAGG
This 21-nucleotide microRNA is filed under the name Mus musculus (house mouse). RNAcentral describes it as "mmu-miR-6398". Lineage: Eukaryota; Metazoa; Chordata; Mammalia; Rodentia; Muridae. The record is from miRBase by way of RNAcentral.